AACGCACCUUGCGCCCUUUGGCUAUUCCGAAGGGCAUGCCUGUUUGAGUAUCAUGAACAUCUCAACUCUCAUGGUUUGCCAUGAUGAGCUUGGACUUUGGGGGUCUUGCUGGUCUAUGGCCAGCUCCUCUCAAAUGGAUCAGCUUGCCAGUGUUUGGUGGCAUCGCAGGUGUGAUAACUAUCUACGCUUGUGGUUUUCCACCAGAUAACCUUCAGCAAUGGAGGUUCGCUGGAGCUCAUAAAUGUCUUUCCUCAGUGAAGACAGCUUUUUGAACGUUUGAUCUCAAAUCAGGUAGGACUACCCGCUGAACUUAA
This 314-nucleotide unclassified non-coding RNA is filed under the name uncultured Tomentella. RNAcentral's name for it is "partial contains 5.8S ribosomal RNA, internal transcribed spacer 2, and large subunit ribosomal RNA". Lineage: Eukaryota; Fungi; Basidiomycota; Agaricomycetes; Thelephorales; Thelephoraceae. The record is from RNAcentral.